AUUGAACGCUGGCGGCAGGCCUAACACAUGCAAGUCGAACGAGUGGCGGACGGGUGAGUAAUGUCUGGGAAACUGCCCGAUGGAGGGGGAUAACUACUGGAAACGGUAGCUAAUACCGCAUACCAUCGGAUGUGCCCAGAUGGGAUUGGAUAGUAGGUGGGGUAACGGCUCACCAAGGAGACGAUCCCUACCUGGUCUGAGAGGAUGACCAGCCACACUGGAACUGAGACACGGUCCAGACUCCUACGGGAGGCAGCAGGGGGGAAUAUUGGACAAUGGGCGAAAGCCUGAUGCAGCCAUGCCGGGUGUAUGAAGAAGGCCUUCGGGUUGUAAAGCACUUUCAGCGAGGAGGCGUUACUCGCAGAAGAAGCACCGGCUAACUCCGUGCCAGCAGCCGCGGUAAUUC
This 406-nucleotide ribosomal RNA is filed under the name uncultured bacterium. RNAcentral's name for it is "partial 16S ribosomal RNA". It matches the Rfam family "Bacterial small subunit ribosomal RNA", at positions 30 to 526 of the family's 1533-position model. The record is from RNAcentral.